Molecule: long non-coding RNA, 1407 nt
Organism: Trichomycterus rosablanca
Lineage: Eukaryota; Metazoa; Chordata; Actinopteri; Siluriformes; Trichomycteridae
Exons: 4
Source: RefSeq, a predicted model, not a curated record
AACCUCGACUUACGAGUGACCCAACUUACGAAUUUUUCAAAAUACGAGCUGUCACUUGGUCGAUUUUUUGCUUUGUGAUACGAGCCGAGAUCUGAGUUACGAGCUCAGCUGAGUUCAGUUCACCUGGUUAUCUUGCCGUACAAGCAAGUAAAAAAGAGGAAAAUGUGACGAAAAAGCCAAAAGUCGGUGAAGAAUAAGAUUAAGUGAAGUAAAAAAAUUAUAUAGAACGUUAUGGCUGUAGAUUAUAGCGCGGGUUGCUUACUGAACGGUAGCAACUGGUGUAAUGACGCUCGUGGCUUUGUCUCGCGAUAGGUAAACAAGAGUAGCGGGCGGUGUUCACAUCCAAACAGGACGUAUACCAAGUUGGACUUAUACCACUGUAUAUUGUAACAUUAAGUGUGUAGCGAGUAAGUUAAGUGAUAGAGCACGAAAUGAAACACUCCCCCAACUUCCUCUGCCAAUCUCCACCUCCGCCAGCAUCUUCGUCUUAUUUUCAAGCGAGUCUCUCGCUGGCUGGCGGAGGUCAUUGGGAUGGCCUACACGACAUCCAACCGUCCCGUACCCGCUUGGUCAUCUGGUCACUCUGUCAGGAGAGUUUCCACAUCUUGGGCCACCUUAAGAGGGGUCCCCAUUGCGGAGGUUUGUGCGGCAGCCACUUGGUCUUCGCCAUGUACCUUUUCACGUUUUUACAACGUGAACGUCGCAGCUUGAUCUAGCUUGGCACCGGCUGUCCUGGCUCUUUCCACGAGUAGAUGUUGAAGUACUCCUCGUGACGGCGUGGGCAUAAAUCAUCCACUACUUACAUUACAAAAUCAAAACAAAAACAUGGAUAACUCAGCAAAAGACUACUGUAUUUGGCAUUUGAUGACCUGAUGGACCCAAGUUCAACAUCGCAAAACGAAAAUGAAGCAAGACACGUUGAAGGAGCGAGGAGGGUAGCAGUGUUUAUACUACCAUGCAGAAAUGGUCAAGAAUCCAUGCAGUACAGGUGCAGCAGAUGGAAACUGGGUUAAAACGCCACUCAUCAGAAACUUUCAAGACAACUCAAACCCCUUGCAUGGCUGCUACAGGCAACACAUAUGAUGUCUGCAUUCACCUAGAAACAAAAACAGCAAGAUUUACAAUACAGAAAAGGUGCACUGUAGAAAUUCUACAAGUAGUAGAAGGAAGUGUCCUUAUAACUGUGUGCAUUAGUGUGUGUGCACUGCUGCAACAAAACACUUCAUCUGGAAAAUACACUUUGUAUUACUUAUAUUUAACUUUCAACUAAAUGUCUUAAGAUUCAAAUGAGGUUUAAGUUUUUGAGAAAUGUAACAUCGACAAAAAAGCCUGUGCUUCCCUCCAGCUAAAAGAAAGCAGUGUAAACUCACUUCCACUGCAUAAGCUUAAUAAAGCACCUGAACUAAG